RNAcentral lists this ribosomal RNA (674 nucleotides) under uncultured bacterium. RNAcentral's name for it is "bacterial SSU rRNA". It matches the Rfam family "Bacterial small subunit ribosomal RNA", at positions 79 to 749 of the family's 1533-position model. The record is from RNAcentral.
CUUGCUUCUCUUGAGAGCGGCGGACGGGUGAGUAAUGCCUAGGAAUCUGCCUGGUAGUGGGGGAUAACGUUCGGAAACGGACGCUAAUACCGCAUACGUCCUACGGGAGAAAGCAGGGGACCUUCGGGCCUUGCGCUAUCAGAUGAGCCUAGGUCGGAUUAGCUAGUUGGUGGGGUAAUGGCUCACCAAGGCGACGAUCCGUAACUGGUCUGAGAGGGUGAUCAGUCACACUGGAACUGAGACACGGUCCAGACUCCUACGGGAGGCAGCAGUGGGGAAUAUUGGACAAUGGGCGAAAGCCUGAUCCAGCCAUGCCGCGUGUGUGAAGAAGGUCUUCGGAUUGUAAAGCACUUUAAGUUGGGAGGAAGGGUUGUAGAUUAAUACUCUGCAAUUUUGACGUUACCGACAGAAUAAGCACCGGCUAACUCUGUGCCAGCAGCCGCGGUAAUACAGAGGGUGCAAGCGUUAAUCGGAAUUACUGGGCGUAAAGCGCGCGUAGGUGGUUUGUUAAGUUGGAUGUGAAAUCCCCGGGCUCAACCUGGGAACUGCAUUCAAAACUGACUGACUAGAGUAUGGUAGAGGGUGGUGGAAUUUCCUGUGUAGCGGUGAAAUGCGUAGAUAUAGGAAGGAACACCAGUGGCGAAAGCGACCACCUGGACUAAUACUGACACUGA